This 493-nucleotide ribosomal RNA is filed under the name uncultured bacterium. RNAcentral's name for it is "partial 16S ribosomal RNA". It matches the Rfam family "Bacterial small subunit ribosomal RNA", at positions 28 to 507 of the family's 1533-position model. The record is from RNAcentral.
GACGAACGCUGGCGGCGUGCUUAACACAUGCAAGUCGAACGGUGAAGGGACCGGUUUUUGCUGGUUCUGGAUGAGUGGCGAACGUGUGAGUAACACGUGUGUCACCUGCCCCCUUCUUCUGGAUAACCGCAUGAACGGGUGUCUAAUACGGGAUAUUCUGCGCCUGCUGCAUGGUGGGUGGGGGGAAGAUAUUGUUUCGGCUGGGGAUGGGCUCGCGGCCUAUCAGCUUGUUGGUGGGGUGAUGGCCUACCAAGGCGGUGACGGGUAGCCGGCCGGGGAGGGUGGACGGCCCCAGUGGGACGGAACCGCGGCGCAGACUACGACGGGAGGCAGCAGGGGGGAAUAUGGCACGAUGGGCGCAAGGCUGAUGCAGCGACGCGGCGUGAGGGAUGGAGGCCGUAGGGUUGUAAACCUCUUUCGCCAGUGAAGCAGGCCUGUCCCUUUUGUGGGUGGGUUGACGGUAGCUGGAUAAGAAGCGCCGGCUAACUACGUG